AAUUGCCUUUGAUACUGCUCACCUUGAGUCCAGCUGAGGUAGGCGGAAUGUAGUAUGUAGCGGUGAAAUGCUUAGAUAUACUACAGGACACCGAUUGCGAAGGCAGCUUACCAAACUGGCACUGACGCUCAGGCACGAAAGCGUGGGGAGCGAACAGGAUUAGAUACCCUGGUAGUCCACGCCGUAAACGUUGAUCACUCGUUGUUGGCAAUACACCGUCAGCGACCUAGCUAAUGCGCUAAGUGAUCCACCUGGGGAGUACGAUCGCAAGGUUGAAACUCAAAGGAAUUGACGGGGGCCCGCACAAGCGGAGGAGCAUGUGGUUUAAUUCGAUGAUACGCGAGGAACCUUACCUGGGCUUAAAUGUAGUGUGCAUUCCCGUGAAAACGGGAUUUCCUUCGGGACCCACUACAAGGUGCUGCAUGGUUGUCGUCAGCUCGUGCCGUGAGGUGUCGGGUUAAGUCCCAUAACGAGCGCAACCCCUAUCUUUAGUUGCUAACAGGUCAUGCUGAGGACUCUAAAGAAACUGCCCGCGCAAGCGGUGAGGAAGGUGGGGAUGACGUCAAAUCAGCACGGCCCUUAUGUCCAGGGCUACACACGUGCUACAAUGGCAGGUACAGUGGGCAGCUAUCACGCAAGUGAAUGCUAAUCUCUAAAACCUGUCUCAGUCCGGAUUGGAGUCUGCAACCCGACUCCAUGAAGCUGGAUUCGCUAGUAAUCGCACAUCAGCCAUGGUGCGGUGAAUACGUUCCCGGGCCUUGUACACACCGCCCGUCAAGCCAUGGAAGCUGGGAGUACCUGAAGUCUGUAACCGUAAGGAGCGG
RNAcentral lists this ribosomal RNA (824 nucleotides) under uncultured organism. Its description in RNAcentral is "bacterial SSU rRNA". It matches the Rfam family "Bacterial small subunit ribosomal RNA", at positions 619 to 1455 of the family's 1533-position model. The record is from RNAcentral.